GCUGGGAUGAACUCCAAAAGCCUUUGAAAUGGGGGAAAGAAGAGAAUGCUCAUUUCUUCCACGCAGGCGGAGACGUUGAAUAGAUGCCGGCUUGCAGAAGACUGAAGCUGCGACGAAGUAGACGGCUGAACUUGACCUCCUCCUAGUGUGCAACUGGGGUCGACCCAUGCGGUUGGCUGGUCACCUACGGUGAUGCAUAUUUUUGGACCCGAUACGCAUUUUAACUUGAUUUACGAUCACCUGCACCCCACAAAAAUAAAAUAUUAAUGCAGCAUUGUUAUCAUUAUUUGUUAGCAAUAAUGCUAAUUUAAGUGAUGUGUAGAUCGCACUUUUGUGCUCUCAUCAUAAGUAAUCUGUCUUAAUCUUAUCGUAGAUCUUGUAUUACGUUUUAUAAGAUGAACCAGUGUUUUUCAUACAAUUUGAAUUGUAUACAUGAUUUGUGAAGAAAGUAAGUAACCUGUUCUAAUCCUGUUAUGGAUCAUGUCAUGUU
This 490-nucleotide long non-coding RNA is filed under the name Phoenix dactylifera (date palm). Its description in RNAcentral is "long non-coding RNA (PDAC_LNC007623)". Lineage: Eukaryota; Viridiplantae; Streptophyta; Magnoliopsida; Arecales; Arecaceae. The record is from RNAcentral.